Molecule: small RNA, 2276 nt
Filed under: Arabidopsis thaliana (thale cress)
Lineage: Eukaryota; Viridiplantae; Streptophyta; Magnoliopsida; Brassicales; Brassicaceae
Description: ATSL047890
Source: RNAcentral
GAGUUUCUAACCGAUGAAAAUGGUCUUAAUAUACACGGGACAUAGAUUUUUCUACUUGCCCUCACUAAACUCAAAUUUACUUUGCUCACUGAGAACGAGUUUUGUUCUUCGUUUCUAAAAUUUUAAACAUGAUUGCCCAUUUGGCGUCAAGGACGAGUUUAGUAGUCGCAAUCUAAAAGACUUCAAAUCAUCAAGUCAAUGGAGCUUCAGGCGUUUGUUUUUUUUAUAUAUAUCUACAACACUAAUUUACCAUCACUACUCGAUAACUUCCUUUUUUUCUUCAAAAAUAUUGAAGCUUUCUUAUCUAAUCAGAAAAUGAGGUUCAUCCUUCGUUCCAUUUGUUUCCUACUCCUCGUUUCAAGUUUUUCUAAACACUUUUGUUUCAUCUACACAACACUUGUGUGAUUCUGACCAAAGGGAUGCUCUUCUUGAGUUCAAGAAAGAGUGUUUGAUCCAGAAAACUACUUGGGUUGAUUUAAAGUGAUUGUUAUUCUUGGGAUGGCGUGUGAUGCUAAGUCAGGCAAAGUGAUUGGGCUAGACCUUAGUGACGACUUCCUCCAUGGCAAGCUCAAAUCCAAUAGUAGUCUUUUUAGACUUCGUCACCUGCGUGAUCUGAACCUUGGUUACAACAAUUUUUCCGGUUCGCCAAUCCCAGCUCAGUUUGAUAAACUUGUGGGGUUAGAAAUGUUGAUCGAUAAUUGAGUUUAGUAUGUCUAAUAAUUAUAUAAGUAAUUAUGUAUGUUAAGUCAAAGUGUGUGUUUGGUUAAAGAGUCGUGUCUAUUAAGUUUAGACAGUUAUGUCUUAAGGGUCACAAGAAAGAAGAGUUGCAUCUCUUAACUUUCAAACCCGAUUGAAGUCUAUUUAAAUAUAAGUUGUAUUACUGGAACACAAGUUGUUCAUUUUGUCUUUUCUAUUGAAUAAAACAGAAGUUCUUUUUCAUUCAAGUUACGUAUUGAUCACGAUCAAUACGAAGUUGAUUUUCUCUCUGUUUUACUCUGUUUCUGUUUUGGAGACUUAAGUUUCUAACAAGAAAGACUUGACCUCUUUUGGUCUUCACUUUCAGAACAAAAUUCCAACCAAGCUUCUUCAGCUAACCAAGUUGUUGUCUCUCCAUCUUUCUUCUUUGGGCUAUUUUUACAUGCCUCUAUCAAUUUAUAAUUCUUUUCUUCAUCUACUUGCUCGAAACUUGAGAAACCUUAGAGAAUUGGAUAUGAGUUUCGUAAACAUUUAUUCAUAAAUCUCCCAUGAAUUUUCAAACAUGUAGUCUCUAAGAUGGCUAAAUCUUGAAGACUGUAACCUAUUUGGAGAAUUUCCAAGCAGUGUUCAUCUGAUACCCAGCUGAGAGUCCAUUAGAUUGUACGAAAAUCCAAACCUGAUAGGCUAUUAAUAUAGUGACUACGCAUCUAUUAAUAUAUCAUGUUUAUUGAAAUAAUUUAAAUAAUCAAGAGAAACAAAUUGAUCAAAAGUAAGCAAAAAUUAAGCAAAAAAAAGCAAGAAAUGAGCAUAACAUAAGUAAAAUUUCUUUAAAAACUGACAAACAAAAUUCACAUAGUCAAAGUUAAGAUUUUAAACAAAUACUUCUAACAAUCAAAUGGAUAGGGUGAAAAAAAUAAAAGUAUUGUCUUCAGCCAAAAGUUAAAUUUUUGUCAAGCCCAUAUUUAUGUAAGAUUUCAAAGUUGUAUGUUAUUUCAUUUUUGGAUCUAAAUAUAAUAUUGUAAAGUCAUAGUAGAAAACCAUAGACCAUGGGCUAUUAAACUUGUCGGCCCAAAUGUUAUUUUUUUGUCUAUUAUAAAGAUGUUGAAGUGUAAUUAUGUAUUUUUAUUUGCAAUAUUGUCUUAAAGUGUUUUUCAUAAUAUUGGCUGAGUAAACAAAAACAAAAGUACAUAUAACAUAACAACGAUAAUCUUGUGUCCGACAAUGGCUUUGUUGGAGACCUAGUGUUUGUUUGGAACCUUUGGACGAUGCUUUUGUGAGAAACAGAUCCAUUCUCAUACAGAAUCGUCCUCGCCGGACACUCUUCUCCGGUCUCGUGGCACACUUGCCAAUUUUUCUGUACGUCUUUCCCCAUUCGUACUAUUCCAAGGAGAUAUUCCUACAUAACUUAUUCUAGUUAACAAAUGCUUGAAUUAUAUAGUUUUGCAGGAGUUAGUGAUCGAAGGUCGGUUGAUCCGCUCGGAUAAUACAAUCAAUCACAUCUCCGUUGAGGCUCUUUUCAAACAAAAAGAAAGUCAAAACAAUUAAACUAAUUUUGCAUAAUUGCAUUUGUAUAUGUAACA